GUGUCAGCCGCCGCGGUAAGACGAACCGUGCGAACGUUGUUCGGAAUCACUGGGCUUAAAGGGCGCGUAGGCGGGUCCGCAAGUCUGCGGUGAAAGCCCCCAGCUCAACUGGGGAAGUGCCGUGGAUACUGCGGGUCUUGAGGAGGGUAGGGGCAUCUGGAACAUUGGGUGGAGCGGUGAAAUGCGUUGAUAUCCAAUGGAACUCCGGUGGCGAAGGCGAGGUGCUGGACCCUUUCUGACGCUGAGGCGCGAAAGCCAGGGGAGCAAACGGGAUUAGAUACCCCGGUAGUCC
This 292-nucleotide ribosomal RNA is filed under the name uncultured bacterium. Its description in RNAcentral is "partial 16S ribosomal RNA". It matches the Rfam family "Bacterial small subunit ribosomal RNA", at positions 505 to 796 of the family's 1533-position model. The record is from RNAcentral.